CCUACGGGGGGCAGCAGUGGGGAAUAUUGGACAAUGGGCGAAAGCCUGAUCCAGCAAUGCCGCGUGUGUGAAGAAGGCCUUCGGGUGGUAAAGCACUUUCAGUGGGGAAGAAAGCCUUGGGGCUAAUACCCCCGAGGAAGGACAUCACCCACAGAAGAAGCACCGGCUAACUCCGUGCCAGCAGCCGCGGUAAUACGGAGGGUGCGAGCGUUAAUCGGAAUUACUGGGCGUAAAGCGCGCGUAGGCGGUCUGAUAAGCCGGUUGUGAAAGCCCCGGGCUCAACCUGGGAACGGCAUCCGGAACUGUCAGGCUAGAGUGCAGGAGAGGAAGGUAGAAUUCCCGGUGUAGCGGUGAAAUGCGUAGAGAUCGGGAGGAAUACCAGUGGCGAAGGCGGCCUUCUGGACUGACACUGACGCUGAGGUGCGAAAGCGUGGGUAGCAAACAGGAUUAGAUACCCCGGUAGUC
This 465-nucleotide ribosomal RNA is filed under the name Vreelandella stevensii. RNAcentral's name for it is "partial 16S ribosomal RNA". It matches the Rfam family "Bacterial small subunit ribosomal RNA", at positions 338 to 795 of the family's 1533-position model. The record is from RNAcentral. Lineage: Bacteria; Pseudomonadati; Pseudomonadota; Gammaproteobacteria; Oceanospirillales; Halomonadaceae.